This 191-nucleotide long non-coding RNA is filed under the name Vicia faba (fava bean). The record is from RNAcentral. Lineage: Eukaryota; Viridiplantae; Streptophyta; Magnoliopsida; Fabales; Fabaceae.
AUGUUCCUAAAUCUGUCACUAUCCGUCACCGAUCGAACUACUUCACGCGCACCCUCAUCGCGAUCCCAACCGCAUGUCACUGUCCAGAUCCGCCGGUAUUCCUUUCUCUAUUUCAAUCUUGUUUUUUUUUAGUUUGUUGUUUAUGUGUGAUUGAGGUUGUUGUGAGAUUGUUUGGUUCUUUUGGAAAAUAA